GUCGAACGAACUCUGGUAUUGAUUGGUGCUUGCAUCAUGAUUUACAUUUGAGUGAGUGGCGAACUGGUGAGUAACACGUGGGAAACCUGCCCAGAAGCGGGGGAUAACACCUGGAAACAGAUGCUAAUACCGCAUAACAACUUGGACCGCAUGGUCCGAGUUUGAAAGAUGGCUUCGGCUAUCACUUUUGGAUGGUCCCGCGGCGUAUUAGCUAGAUGGUGGGGUAACGGCUCACCAUGGCAAUGAUACGUAGCCGACCUGAGAGGGUAAUCGGCCACAUUGGGACUGAGACACGGCCCAAACUCCUACGGGAGGCAGCAGUAGGGAAUCUUCCACAAUGGACGAAAGUCUGAUGGAGCAACGCCGCGUGAGUGAAGAAGGGUUUCGGCUCGUAAAACUCUGUUGUUAAAGAAGAACAUAUCUGAGAGUAACUGUUCAGGUAUUGACGGUAUUUAACCAGAAAGCCACGGCUAACUACGUGCCAGCAGCCGCGGUAAUACGUAGGUGGCAAGCGUUGUCCGGAUUUAUUGGGCGUAAAGCGAGCGCAGGCGGUUUUUUAAGUCUGAUGUGAAAGCCUUCGGCUCAACCGAAGAAGUGCAUCGGAAACUGGGAAACUUGAGUGCAGAAGAGGACAGUGGAACUCCAUGUGUAGCGGUGAAAUGCGUAGAUAUAUGGAAGAACACCAGUGGCGAAGGCGGCUGUCUGGUCUGUAACUGACGCUGAGGCUCGAAAGUAUGGGUAGCAAACAGGAUUAGAUACCCUGGUAGUCCAUACCGUAAACGAUGAAUGCUAAGUGUUGGAGGGUUUCCGCCCUUCAGUGCUGCAGCUAACGCAUUAAGCAUUCCGCCUGGGGAGUACGGCCGCAAGGCUGAAACUCAAAGGAAUUGACGGGGGCCCGCACAAGCGGUGGAGCAUGUGGUUUAAUUCGAAGCUACGCGAAGAACCUUACCAGGUCUUGACAUACUAUGCAAAUCUAAGAGAUUAGACGUUCCCUUCGGGGACAUGGAUACAGGUGGUGCAUGGUUGUCGUCAGCUCGUGUCGUGAGAUGUUGGGUUAAGUCCCGCAACGAGCGCAACCCUUAUUAUCAGUUGCCAGCAUUAAGUUGGGCACUCUGGUGAGACUGCCGGUGACAAACCGGAGGAAGGUGGGGAUGACGUCAAAUCAUCAUGCCCCUUAUGACCUGGGCUACACACGUGCUACAAUGGAUGGUACAACGAGUUGCGAACUCGCGAGAGUAAGCUAAUCUCUUAAAGCCAUUCUCAGUUCGGAUUGUAGGCUGCAACUCGCCUACAUGAAGUCGGAAUCGCUAGUAAUCGCGGAUCAGCAUGCCGCGGUGAAUACGUUCCCGGGCCUUGUACACACCGCCCGUCACACCAUGAGAGUUUGUAACACCCAAAGUCGGUGGGGUAACCUUUUAGGAACCAGCCGCCUAAG
Molecule: ribosomal RNA, 1435 nt
Filed under: Lactiplantibacillus plantarum
Lineage: Bacteria; Bacillati; Bacillota; Bacilli; Lactobacillales; Lactobacillaceae
Description: bacterial SSU rRNA
Rfam family: Bacterial small subunit ribosomal RNA
Source: RNAcentral